GAGUUUGAUCGUGGCUCAGGAUGAACGCUAGCGGCAGGCCUAACACAUGCAAGUCGAGGGGCAGCAUAAAGUAAACUUGUUUACUUGGUGGCGACCGGCGCACGGGUGCGUAACGCGUAUGCAACCUACCUUACACAUGGGGAUAGCCCAGAGAAAUUUGGAUUAAUACCUCAUAGUAUUAUUGAAUGGCAUCAUUUAAUAAUUAAAGUUUCAACGGUAAAAGAUGAGCAUGCGUCCCAUUAGCUAGAUGGUAAGGUAACGGCUUACCAUGGCGACGAUGGGUAGGGGUCCUGAGAGGGAGAUCCCCCCACACUGGUACUGAGACACGGACCAGACUCCUACGGGAGGCAGCAGUGAGGAAUAUUGGUCAAUGGGCGCAAGCCUGAACCAGCCAUGCCGCGUGCAGGAUGAAGGUCCUAUGGAUUGUAAACUGCUUUUGUACAGGAAGAAACAGUUCUACGUGUAGAACCUUGACGGUACUGUAAGAAUAAGGAUCGGCUAACUCCGUGCCAG
RNAcentral lists this ribosomal RNA (513 nucleotides) under uncultured Flavobacterium sp. RNAcentral's name for it is "bacterial SSU rRNA". It matches the Rfam family "Bacterial small subunit ribosomal RNA", at positions 9 to 511 of the family's 1533-position model. Lineage: Bacteria; Pseudomonadati; Bacteroidota; Flavobacteriia; Flavobacteriales; Flavobacteriaceae. The record is from RNAcentral.